This 460-nucleotide ribosomal RNA is filed under the name uncultured bacterium. Its description in RNAcentral is "partial 16S ribosomal RNA". It matches the Rfam family "Bacterial small subunit ribosomal RNA", at positions 338 to 795 of the family's 1533-position model. The record is from RNAcentral.
CCUACGGGGGGCAGCAGUGAGGAAUAUUGGUCAAUGGACGAGAGUCUGAACCAGCCAAGUAGCGUGAAGGAUGACUGCCCUAUGGGUUGUAAACUUCUUUUAUAUGGGAAUAAAAUGUUCCACGUGUGGGAUUUUGUAUGUACCAUAUGAAUAAGGAUCGGCUAACUCCGUGCCAGCAGCCGCGGUAAUACGGAGGAUCCGAGCGUUAUCCGGAUUUAUUGGGUUUAAAGGGAGCGUAGGUGGAUUGUUAAGUCAGUUGUGAAAGUUUGCGGCUCAACCGGAAAAUUGCAGUUGAAACUGGCAGUCGUGAGUACAGUAGAGGUGGGCGGAAUUCGUGGUGUAGCGGUGAAAUGCUUAGAUAUCACGAAGAACUCCGAUUGCGAAGGCAGCUCACUGGACUGCAACUGACACUGAGGCUCGAAAGUGUGGGUAUCAAACAGGAUUAGAUACCCCUGUAGUC